Monopterus albus (swamp eel) is the source of this 5399-nucleotide long non-coding RNA. RefSeq lists it as uncharacterized. NCBI's taxonomy places the organism in Eukaryota, Metazoa, Chordata, Actinopteri, Synbranchiformes, Synbranchidae. The record is from RefSeq and is a predicted model, not a curated record. The transcript has 3 exons.
GGGAAAUGAGAGCGGGAGAGACGGGGGGAGGAGGAGGAGAGAUGCUGCAUUUUAGUGAUAGCACAGACUCAGCCUGCAGGAGCAGAGAGAGGGAUGGAGAGAAUGGAUGGGAGGUAGAAAAUAAGAGAGAAGCAUUGUCAGAGAGAGAGCGAGCACGACAGGAUCCCCACACAGAGUGUGACAAGUGGGACUUGACAAAGCAGCAGGAGCAGAGAUUAAAGAGAGAAAAAAGGAGUAAACUUGCGUGACUGAUCACAGCCAGUGAGAAGACGUUUCCCGCUAUAAAAGGAGAAAGAAAGUCAUCUGGAACCAAACUAAGAGAGUACUAGCAGCAGCAGGAUCACAAAGAAAAACUGAGGAAAGCACUUCAAGGCAGACUAUAGCAUCUGUUGUGCAAAGUGUGGAUCUCUCUUUCCUUUUUCUCUCUGCUUGACUAUCUAUCCGCAGGCUGUCCUUCCAUCUGUCUCAGCGGGAUGCAAAAGUGCAGUUUUGGUGUUUGGUACAAAGAGAAAUGCUGAACGCAACCUGAUGUGUUGUUCUGGAAGGAAAAGGGAGGAGAGACAGCAGCAUGACUCACACAGCAGCUAGGAUAUUGUGCAUUCUACAUGCAAGAGAAGAGGGAGAGGGAGACAAAGGAACAAUGACAAAGAUAAAGGGAGAAAAAUAGAAAGCGAAUUGACCAGAACUGAGCAGUCAUUAGACAGAUGAAGGACGAGAUGAGGACAGAAGCAGCCGCACUGGCAAGUGUUGAGUGAGAUAUAGGCCAAGUGAGUCAGCUUGCUAGAGGGAGAGGGUGGCGAGAAGAGGGCGAGUUUCAAAAGUAGAGGGUCUGGUAUGACCAAAGCUGGUCGAGGGAAGGUUGAAUGAAGGUUUUCUGCAGGGUGGAAAGUGGACACAGAACUGCAAAGAACAGAGAGACAGGUUUAAAUGAAAAAAACUACUUGGGGAACACUCCUGAGUAAAUGUGUCUUGCUACAGGGAGAGAACAUGACUGAGGAGCAAGGAGAUAAAGAAGAGACAAGGCUAGGUAAGAGCAAAAGUGAACAUCCAAGCAGGACAGUAAGAGAGUUGAACUGAAAACAUCACAACACAGAGAACUUCCAAAGCACAACGGUGGGGAAUGGAAACUUUAAUCGUGACAGCAACACAGCAAAAGGUUCCUGUUAAAUAUUGAUGCUGACAGGCCACACCGGGAAGAGCUCGCUCCUUGCACCAGGGAGCAGGAAGCUGAAGGCAAAAAUUCUGUUGUUUUAGAUGCAUUCUACAGGAAUUUUACACUGGAACAGACAAGCUGUUAAACGGCAUCAGAUGACAGGCGAGUGUGGUGAAGUCAUUGAAAUGCUGUAAAUUAAGAAAAGGCCUACAACGAGGUUUGAUUCAUCUUGCUGGAGGUUUUUUUUUGUCCAGCUGUGCAGAGUGGAAAGACAAAGACUACAGAGAGAAGAACAGCAAGAAAAAGAAGAAUCAAUAUUUGAGAGAACAUUGAGACCACAUCAGGACUAGGGUGGUUUCUGUUCCAAAAGAGAAAAAGAACUAGAGUUGGCUGCUCAGUACAGAUUUAUAUUUUAGAUCGACGAUGAGAAAAACUAAACACCACUGAGACAUUGGCUAACUAUUGUUGUUUUGGUCUUGGACUGAUUGGAACUACCCCAACUUUCUGAAAAUGGCCUCAUUACAAAGACUUAGCCAGUGGAAGUCUGUUGUCAUGACUUGAGGAAAUGACUAAAUAAAGUCACAAUGGUUCCUCAUGUCAGGGUAGAGACAUUAAGGUAGAGACUGCCUUCUCUCCGACCCGAAUCCUGAAAACAUCACACGGUAACGCAGGAACAGAUCUGGUCUAUGUGUGUGUGUGGCUGUGUGGGGGUGUAAGGGCUGUUGGAGGAGCUCAGCUGUGUUCGUGCAUAUGCUUGUGUAGGUCUGGGUAUAGAGGUGUGUGUGUGUGUACACUAAGCUUUGAACCCAGGUGUAUCUAAGUGUAUUUUCAAAGUAUCGCCCAGAGCUGUGUGUGCUUGUCUGUGUGUGUUGCCUGGAUUCUCCCAACCAGCGACGGAGCCAGACCUGAACAGCAUUGGUGAGAGGGGGACGAAGAGGGAGAGGAGGAAGAGAAGAGGGAGGUGAAAGAGACCAGCAGGACAAAGAAGAAACAACCGACAACAUGCUCGGGUAAAGAAGAGAAAGAAAGGCAUCGUUGGCUGCCCCUCUGGUGCAAUGUGUGGCGUCGCACCCUGUGGAGGUGGGGUUUUGUGAUGGUAACCAUGAUCCCCAGCAGCCGCUAUGUCUGCAGCGCUCACUCCAGAGAGGAGGACUCCACAAACGAUUUCGAGGAGCGAAUUUUAGCUGUGCUGGGCAUUAUCGGAACCAUCCUCAAUCUUUUAGUGGUCAUAUUUGUUUAUAUCUACACCUCCGUCACCUAAGGUUUCCUGGGACCAGAGACGCUGACACCAUCACUGACUUUUCUCCACACCGCCACCACUCUCUUUAAGUAUUUAUAAGAUGUGUGGAUCACUGGCAGCAUGUUCAGCUGGAUAGAAGCCAUAUUUAUGUACACCUGAAUUACUACUUCUUCAUAAGACAUCUCUAUUGUUACUUACAGACUGGUGCCAAUCACAAAAUCAGGGCUACAGGUGGAAACACCUGCACGCCACUGUUCACACUGAACUGUAUCCUCACAUUUUUCAAGACCGGUUCAAUAACCUCAGUUAAAUGACAGAUGAUAGUGUGUCCAGUCUGGUUAUGAUUACAUGGCUCUGGCAUAAGCUUCUCUAUCACUGCUCAGACAGAUGGAGUUCAGCUCUUACACUAAGUGUUUUGGAGCUGAUGAAGGUUGAAUUUGACUGUGCUGCAUCUUCCACUUUGCUGUUUAACUCUGAAAGUAUAUGGCUUCUGUCAACAACCUUGCUCCUGUGUGGGAUUAAAGACAUAGUCACUGCCAGUUCAGCUUAACAGUCUGAAAGCACAGAGCUUUCAGUUAACUUGACCAAAUUCGGGAUGGUAAAGGGACCAAAACUGGGAGUUGAAUCAUCAGCAGAGGGACCCUUAGGCACCCUUAAAUCCACUUGACUAGUACAACCCUACAAAUGGUCAGGCAAUCACUUGCGCCUUGCUAAAUAGUUUCUGCAGUUAUUAGAAUCACUGAAAAGGUUUUACAUGGACCCAACGUGUCCAUACCUGAGCACACCAGAGGAGAGAUUCCUGGCUGUGUUGGGAAUUAUUGGCAUCUUACUCAAUCUCCUGCUGCUUCUCUUUGUCUAUGUAUACACUUCCACCUGAUGGGUGGUACGAGUUAUGAGAUAACUUACCCACAGUAACUGCACAGUGAUCACAGACUAUGCUCUUCAACCACUAUGUAUAUAUUGUACCUAAGUACAACCUGGUCCAUAGCUGGUUUGAUCAUUUUCUAGGUGAGCUUCAGUGUCUAAAGACAGUGAAAUUCUAAUAAAAGAUCUUGGUGAACAGAAGGUGAUGAGAGAAUGUAAAGGCAAAACUGUAUACAGAUUUCCUCACAGAUAGAUUUAAAAAAUUCACUGUUUCUGUGGAAAACAUGUCCUACAGUUAGUGUUUUUGUAGAUACUGUAAUCGCUUGCAUAUGUGCUUAAUGAGAUGUUUACUAAAGCUCAUACUGGUAUAAUCAAAUAUUCUUAAUCAUACUUUGACCACAAUAACUGAUGUAAAGACUGUAAUCUUUGCAGUAUUUUGGUUUGUUCUUCAAGCAUACUGAUGUUGAAAACAGCCAGACAUGGAACUGGAUGCAGCAGCUCUGCACACUAGUAAAAUGCCCUCUGUGAACGGUUGGUACCACAGAAUAACAGCCUAUUUUCUGGUGUCAUGUUUCUUUAAGUCAGAAACAGAGCAACAUCAGAGAGGGCAAAGUGUGGAACUGACACACUGUCACACAAAUCAAGAGAGUGUGCUGUUGCAGUCCAAUACAAAGAGAUGCAAUGGUAACAGAGAAAAUGGAGAGAACCAGGGUGGACUGUCUGGAACGUGCAGACAUAAAACAUCUGUACGAGGCCUCGCCAUCUGCCUCGAAAGUCAUGAAGGCACAAAAACCUCCCUGGGAUUGGUCUACAACAUUUUUGCUAGUGCUGCAUGUCACUGUGGAUGUGAGUUUAGGUUUAAGCGCUGCACUUCUGAUGGAGAGGUGAACCUAAAUGCAGCUGACAAGCGAGAAGGAAAGACUGGUCUGAAUCUCCACUUCAUUCUACCCAUUCUUUUUUCCACCAACAAGCUAACACCAGAAAAGACAUAGUACUGAGAGGACCCACGUGAGUCUCUGCUGUUAUUUGACAUAGCACAAUACUUUUAUAUAUAUAUAAAUACACCUGUGAGAAGGACUUUGUUUCAUACACAAUCAAUUUGGGGGUCUGGGAAAGACGUGACAGUAACCAGUGACUGACUGCUCACUUAACAUACUGCAAUUUUAUAUACAGUAUCAGCUUGUGUGAAUACAUUUUUGAUAAUCAGCGCAUAACAGGAUCCCUUGUUACAUUGUGAAUGUACAGCAAACGUGUAUGUAAAUAAAGUGGUAAUGUAACUAAUCUGGCUAUCGGAAGCUGUUUUACAACUUGUACGAUUAUCUGACAAGUAUUGUUUCUUGCCCCAUUGGAUCUACAGUACCUGUGUGUUCUGAGAUGCCAGCAAGUGUGAUGUUAUGGCUGGAACCAAUGGCCUGAUAUCUAAAUAAUAAUAAUAAAAAAAACAAAAACUGCACUUAACCCUGCAAUUAAGUCUUAACACAGACAUCCCUUUACAAACUGAGAAAAGGCUAAAAACUCCUCCACUUCCAAAAUGUCCUUAAACCUCAAAUUUACUUUCUCACAAAGAUAUAAAUGCAAGCACACACACACACUAACUACUUGCAUCUCUUUUCAUGACAAUAAUUUUAUAUCUUUCACCACACAUUAGGAGAUUUGACUGUUAGCAAGCCCUGACUGAUGUGACUUGCACAUUUACUCCCUAUCACAUCUCAUAACCGUACAGUGGAGUUCAUUGAGCUAAAUCCUUUUUAGGGUGCACCAAGGCAGAGUAUGAAGCACCUUUGGUUUGGCAGACCUCUGCUGUCAGACUGCGCCACAGCUGUGCAGAAGUGCAUUUGAACAUACUUUGAAAUACUUAAAAAGUACUGGAUAUAUUUUGGGCCCACUUUGUGCCAUCUCUGAAGGGUCACUGAUGGUAGCAAACAAACAAAAUGAACAAGCCUGCUCAACUGUUCAGAUCAGGUUUACUUAGAUACUUGGAGAGUUUUAUUUUACAGUACUGCCUUCUAACAAGAUGCCCUUUAUAAAGGGUUUACAAGUUGUCACUAAUGCCCUGUUAAUAGUUAAUCAUUUACUGAUGCUUUACAAAUACCUUAAAUACCAGUUAUAAGACCUCCCUUGCAGUUGCCAUGUUGUGAAAAA